GGAGGAAAAGAAACUAACAAGGAUUCCCCUAGUAGCGGCGAGCGAAGCGGGAAAAGCUCAAAUUUGUAAUCUGGCGUCUACGACGUCCGAGUUGUAAUCUCGAGAAGUGUUUUCCGUGAUAGACCGCAUACAAGUCUCUUGGAACAGAGCGUCAUAGUGGUGAGAACCCAGUACACGAUGCGGAUGCCUAUUACUUUGUGAUACACUUUCGAAGAGUCGAGUUGUUUGGGAAUGCAGCUCAAAUUGGGUGGUAAAUUCCAUCUAAAGCUAAAUAUUGGCGAGAGACCGAUAGCGAACAAGUACCGUGAGGGAAAGAUGAAAAGCACUUUGGAAAGAGAGUUAACAGUACGUGAAAUUGUUGGAAGGGAAACACAUGCAGCCAGACUUGCUAUUCGGGGCAACUCGAUUGGCAGGCCCGCAUCAGUUUUUCGGGGCGGAAAAUCAUAGAGAGAAGGUAGCAAUUUCGGUUGUGUUAUAGCUCUUUAUUGGAUUCGCCCUGGGGGACUGAGGAACGCAGCGUGCUUUUAGCAUAAGCUUCGGCUUAUCCACGCUUAGGAUGCGGGUGUAAUGGCUGUAUAUGACCCGUCUU
This 589-nucleotide ribosomal RNA is filed under the name Sporobolomyces roseus. RNAcentral's name for it is "eukaryotic LSU rRNA". It matches the Rfam family "Eukaryotic large subunit ribosomal RNA", at positions 52 to 655 of the family's 3401-position model. The record is from RNAcentral. Lineage: Eukaryota; Fungi; Basidiomycota; Microbotryomycetes; Sporidiobolales; Sporidiobolaceae.